RNAcentral lists this ribosomal RNA (468 nucleotides) under uncultured bacterium. RNAcentral's name for it is "bacterial SSU rRNA". It matches the Rfam family "Bacterial small subunit ribosomal RNA", at positions 917 to 1382 of the family's 1533-position model. The record is from RNAcentral.
GGGUCCGCACAAGCGGUGGAGUAUGUGGUUUAAUUCGAUGAUACGCGAGGAACCUUACCUGGGCUAGAAUGCUAUUUGACCGGUCCUGAAAGGGAUUUUUGUAGCAAUACACAGAUAGUAAGGUGCUGCAUGGCUGUCGUCAGCUCGUGCCGUGAGGUGUUGGGUUAAGUCCCGCAACGAGCGCAACCCCCAUCUUCAGUUGCCAGCACGUAAUGGUGGGAACUCUGAAGAAACUGCCGUCGUAAGACGCGAGGAAGGAGGGGAUGAUGUCAAGUCAUCAUGGCCUUUAUGCCCAGGGCUACACACGUACUACAAUGGGGAGGACAAAGGGCAGCGACCUGGUAACAGGAAGCGAAUCUCAAAAACCUCUUCUCAGUUCAGAUUGAGGUCUGCAACUCGACCUCAUGAAGCUGGAAUCGCUAGUAAUCGCGCAUCAGCAAUGGCGCGGUGAAUACGUUCCCGGACCUU